RNAcentral lists this ribosomal RNA (250 nucleotides) under uncultured bacterium. Its description in RNAcentral is "partial 16S ribosomal RNA". It matches the Rfam family "Bacterial small subunit ribosomal RNA", at positions 355 to 597 of the family's 1533-position model. The record is from RNAcentral.
UGGGGAAUAUUGGACAAUGGGCGCAAGCCUGAUCCAGCAAUGCCGCGUGUGUGAAGAAGGCCUGCGGGUUGUAAAGCACUUUUGUUCGGGAAGAAAUCAUGUCGGUUAAUACCCGAUGUGGAUGACGGUACCGAAAGAAUAAGCACCGGCUAACUUCGUGCCAGCAGCCGCGGUAAUACGAAGGGUGCAAGCGUUAAUCGGAAUUACUGGGCGUAAAGCGUGCGUAGGCGGCUUCUUAAGUCGGAUGUGA